Molecule: ribosomal RNA, 483 nt
Filed under: uncultured bacterium
Lineage: Bacteria
Description: partial 16S ribosomal RNA
Rfam family: Bacterial small subunit ribosomal RNA
Source: RNAcentral
AUUGAACGCUAGCGGGAUGCUUUACACAUGCAAGUCGAACGGCAGCGCGGACUUCGGUCUGGCGGCGAGUGGCGAACGGGUGAGUAAUGUAUCGGAACGUGCCCAGUAGCGGGGAUAACUACGCGAAAGCGUAGCUAAUACCGCAUACGCCCUACGGGGGAAAGCAGGGGAUCGUAAGACCUUGCACUAUUGGAGCGGCCGAUAUCGGAUUAGCUAGUUGGUGAGGUAACGGCUCACCAAGGCGACGAUCCGUAGCUGGUUUGAGAGGACGACCAGCCACACUGGGACUGAGACACGGCCCAGACUCCUACGGGAGGCAGAAGUGGGGAAUUUUGGACAAUGGGGGCAACCCUGAUCCAGCCAUCCCGCGUGUGCGAUGAAGGCCUUCGGGUUGUAAAGCACUUUUGGCAGGAAAGAAACGUCGCGGGCUAAUACCCCGUGGAACUGACGGUACCUGCAGAAUAAGCACCGGCUAACUACGUG